RNAcentral lists this ribosomal RNA (219 nucleotides) under Candidatus Poseidoniia archaeon. RNAcentral describes it as "partial 16S ribosomal RNA". It matches the Rfam family "Archaeal small subunit ribosomal RNA", at positions 1250 to 1478 of the family's 1478-position model. The record is from RNAcentral. Lineage: Archaea; Methanobacteriati; Thermoplasmatota; Candidatus Poseidoniia.
CAGAUCGAGGGUUGCAACUCACCCUCGUGACGCUGGAAUUCGUAGUAAUCGUGUGUUAUCAGCAGACGGUGAAUAUGUCAAUGCUCCUUGCACUCACCGCCCGUCAAACCAACCGAGUUUAGCUUUGGUGAGACCCGUCAGGGACGAGCCUUGGUUAGACAAGGUAGGUUAAGUCGUCACAAGGUAUCCGUAGGGGAACCUGCGGAUGGAUCACCUCCU